UACGUAGGUGGCAAGCGUUAUCCGGAUUUACUGGGUGUAAAGGGCGUGUAGGCGGGGACGCAAGUCAGAUGUGAAAACCACGGGCUCAACCUGUGGCCUGCAUUUGAAACUGUGUUUCUUGAGUACUGGAGGGGCAGACGGAAUUCCUAGUGUAGCGGUGAAAUGCGUAGAUAUUAGGAGGAACACCAGUGGCGAAGGCGGUCUGCUGGACAGCAACUGACGCUGAGGCGCGAAAGCGUGGGGAGCAAACAGG
This 253-nucleotide ribosomal RNA is filed under the name uncultured bacterium. Its description in RNAcentral is "partial 16S ribosomal RNA". It matches the Rfam family "Bacterial small subunit ribosomal RNA", at positions 524 to 776 of the family's 1533-position model. The record is from RNAcentral.